This 446-nucleotide ribosomal RNA is filed under the name uncultured bacterium. Its description in RNAcentral is "partial 16S ribosomal RNA". It matches the Rfam family "Bacterial small subunit ribosomal RNA", at positions 338 to 795 of the family's 1533-position model. The record is from RNAcentral.
CCUACGGGGGGCAGCAGUCGAGAAUCAUUCACAAUGGGGGAAACCCUGAUGGUGCGACGCCGCGUGGGGGAAUGAAGGUCUUCGGAUUGUAAACCCCUGUCAUGUGGGAGCAAAUUAAAAAGAUAGUACCACAAGAGGAAGAGACGGCUAACACUGUGCCAGCAGCCGCGGUAAUACAGAGGUCUCAAGCGUUGUUCGGAAUCACGGGGCGUAAAGCGUGCGUAGGCUGUUUCGUAAGUCGUGUGUGAAAGGCGCGGGCUCAACCCGCGGACGGCACAUGAUACUGCGAGACUAGAGUAAGGGAGGGGGAACCGGAAUUCUCGGUGUAGCAGUGAAAUGCGUAGAUAUCGAGAGGAACACUCGUGGCGAAGGCGGGUUCCUGGACAUUAACUGACGCUGAGGCACGAAGGCCAGGGGAGCGAAAGGGAUUAGAUACCCCGGUAGUC